GAAAGCCUGAUGCAGCCAUGCCGCGUGUAUGAAGAAGGCCUUCGGGUUGUAAAGUACUUUCAGUUGUGAGGAAGGGGGUAACGUUAAUAGCGUUAUCUCUUGACGUUAGCAACAGAAGAAGCACCGGCUAACUCCGUGCCAGCAGCCGCGGUAAUACGGAGGGUGCGAGCGUUAAUCGGAAUUACUGGGCGUAAAGCGCAUGCAGGUGGUUCAUUAAGUCAGAUGUGAAAGCCCGGGGCUCAACCUCGGAACUGCAUUUGAAACUGGUGAACUAGAGUGCUGUAGAGGGGGGUAGAAUUUCAGGUGUAGCGGUGAAAUGCGUAGAGAUCUGAAGGAAUACCAGUGGCGAAGGCGGCCCCCUGGACAGACACUGACACUCAGAUGCGAAAGCGUGGGGAGCAAACAGGAUUAGAUACCCUGGUAGUCCACGCCGUAAACGAUGUCUACUUGGAGGUUGUGGCCUUGAGCCGUGGCUUUCGGAGCUAACGCGUUAAGUAGACCGCCUGGGGAGUACGGUCGCAAGAUUAAAACUCAAAUGAAUUGACGGGGGCCCGCACAAGCGGUGGAGCAUGUGGUUUAAUUCGAUGCAACGCGAAAAACCUUACCUACUCUUGACAUCCAGAGAAGCCAGCGGAGACGCAGGUGUGCCUUCGGGAGCUCUUAGACAGGUGCUGCAUGGCUGUCGUCAACUUCGUGUUUGUGAAAAUGUUGGGGUUAAAU
This 720-nucleotide ribosomal RNA is filed under the name uncultured bacterium. RNAcentral describes it as "bacterial SSU rRNA". It matches the Rfam family "Bacterial small subunit ribosomal RNA", at positions 377 to 1085 of the family's 1533-position model. The record is from RNAcentral.